AUUUUUUUUAUUCAUCAGUUCAUCAGCAUCGGAGUGGAUCAGACCUCUAUCAAUUCUUCAAGUUUCCUAAUAUCUUGCUGGCUGGCUCAGCAGAAAUCAGUCCUGUACAGUUUUCUACCUUCGAUUGCUAAAGUCAGCGAUGGUAUUUGGAAGAACAUGACUUGGACUAACGAUAGCGUUUACAGGUUCACGGAUUUGGAACCAUAUACAGAUUACAAUGUGACUGUAUAUGUUCAGGACAGUAAAUCGAAUAAGGUUUACCCUUCGAUGAAAUAUGUUACGACCAAAA
Long non-coding RNA from Melitaea cinxia (Glanville fritillary), 289 nucleotides. RefSeq lists it as uncharacterized. The record is from RefSeq and is a predicted model, not a curated record. NCBI's taxonomy places the organism in Eukaryota, Metazoa, Arthropoda, Insecta, Lepidoptera, Nymphalidae. The transcript has 2 exons.